RNAcentral lists this ribosomal RNA (664 nucleotides) under uncultured bacterium. RNAcentral's name for it is "bacterial SSU rRNA". It matches the Rfam family "Bacterial small subunit ribosomal RNA", at positions 10 to 718 of the family's 1533-position model. The record is from RNAcentral.
AGUUUGAUCCUGGCUCAGAGCGAACGCUGGCGGCAGGCCUAACACAUGCAAGUCGAGCGCCCGUAGCAAUACGGGAGCGGCAGACGGGAGAGUAACACGUGGGAACGCGCCCUUCGGUUCGGAAUAACUCAGGGAAACUUGAGCUAAUACCGGAUACGCCCUUACGGGGAAAGAUUUAUUGCCGAAGGAACGGCCCGCGUCCGAUUAGCUUGUUGGUGAGGUAAUGGCUCACCAAGGCGACGAUCGGUAGCUGGUCUGAGAGGAUGACCAGCCUCACUGGGACUGAGACACGGCCCAGACUCCUACGGGAGGCAGCAGUGGGGAAUAUUGGACAAUGGGCGCAAGCCUGAUCCAGCCAUGCCGCGUGGGUGAUGAAGGCCCUAGGGUUGUAAAGCCCUUUCGGCGGGGAAGAUAAUGACGGUACCCGCAGAAGAAGCCCCGGCUAACUUCGUGCCAGCAGCCGCGGUAAUACGAAGGGGGCUAGCGUUGCUCGGAAUUACUGGGCGUAAAGCGCACGUAGGCGGCUUGUUAAGUCGGGGGUGAAAUCCUGGAGCUCAACUCCAGAACUGCCUUCGAUACUGGCGAGCUCGAGUUCGGGAGAGGUGAGUGGAACUGCGAGUGUAGAGGUGAAAUUCGUAGAUAUUCGCAAGAACACCAGUGGCGA